UUGAUAGGUUGUAGGCUGUUGAGGGACGUUCGCCCUUCGUAGUGACCGGAAUAUUCUGAAAACCGCCACAGGAGCGUAGUAAGGGUUUGACGGCUGGUAGGAAAAUGCGCUCCACGUUUCCGGAGUGAAUCCAUAAGCAUUGGCGAAAUACUCGUCCGAUUGCUGUCUGGAAGCCGCUAAUUGCUGCUGCUCGUUUGGUCCAUCACAAGCACUGGUGACGUGUAGCAUCAAAGCCAAGCAAAGAAUUAGAGAAACUGUUGACAUUUCGACUGUCAGUUCGAGCUUUGCGUCUUUAGUCAAAGUUACUCUAACCUGUUAACGGCUGUCACAGAGAUGGAAAGUCGUCCGGAGUUCCAUCGUCUUAUAUACUGCGAAAAGGACUCACCAAUUGUCACUCAAGUUCAGAUUUCAGGGUUCCGCCCGAGGAAGCAGCCACACAGACUCCGAAAGCAGAAGAGCAGAGUUUAAACUAACCUUUUGCGCAGGUUUUUGUCAACAGCCAAUUUCCGUGAACCGUGAACUUGAGCACUUCCAUCUCUGCGGAAUUCAAGUUUAUGAGAGUUCACUGGAAUACUAACCGAUCGCACAGUUGAAUGGAAAGUGGUAAAACAUGUCCGCACUCUCACUGGCACUUUCUGCUUUUAUCUGAUGUAUCAGCCGUUUUCGACCGACAUUAACGCAACAGCACUUUGCUGAAAAGUUUGGCGCAUUUCAAACUUACAUCCAUUACCGGUAAAAUGUAAGGAACUCAGCAGCGCAAGGCGUCGCCAUUCGACAUUCAAGAUGUUAUCCUGUGACCAUUAAAACCAAUAAAAGCUUAGAGUGCCAGCCAGGCCGAUGAAAAUGAUAAAUUUUCUGGAACAAAGGAAUUUAAGGAGCGGAAGCAAGUUCCUGAAUAAAGUUAGCUGAUGAACUUUGGACGUCCAGUGGCGGAGUAGUUUUUCCAGCCGAGCAGGGGACCUUCCGGCGCAUCCAGUGGAAGAUACGUGGACUAAAGAAGUCGCCCAAAUUAAAAUUGGAUAAAUGAGCAUUCCACUGGUGAAAUCGGGAAUAAUGAACUCUGCUGGGAAAACAAGUCGAGGAUUUGCAUUUCAACAUUUGGAUUUGUGUCUGGCGAUCGCUUAUUCAUCUUCUUGAUAUUGGUCUAAACGACUAAACUGCUCAAGGCUUCCAACAGCAGAUACUCUCUCUGUAGUAGUAGGCGGUCGAGUUGCAUAAAUUGGCAACGCCGUUUUCACCAAAGUACAAUUUAUACUUGGUAAUACCAUCUGAUUAAGUGGCUUGAAACUGAUGUGUACAACAUUUUCCCAAAUCUCGUCUCUUCUCUCUUGCAGCAUGUACCGGCUGUACGUUUCGUUACAUGGAAAACAAACUGCAGAACAAUAAAAGUCAUUCUGAGCUUCUUCAUUGCAAUCCGAUGUGCACAUGGAUUUGUUGCAGCCAGCUGGUGGAAGGUGUUACUCUUUCAGGCUUGCUAUCUGUAGCGGUUGAAGCUUUCAUUACAUGCAGAAACACUACAGAACAAUUUAAAGAUUAACAGCCUGGUGAAGUAGUUUUUACGUCUUGGGAUUUCAUCAGUAACAGUUCUUUCAAUCAUGUAGUUAAUUAUGGAUGCUGUAAAGGGAAUAAGGUUGCAACUUGCAAGAUACACGAUAGAUAGAUGCACACAAGAUAGAUUAUUGAUACAGAAAAAACAUUUCUUUCGGUGGAGCGUACAAAGUUCCUAGCUACCAGACAAUUUCUUCAGAAUUUUUGGGUUUAUCUUGUUCCCGUAGUUGCUGUCCGAUGUGGCUCGUUGUUGCAGCCUAUGCUGGUGAAAAAUCAUUUUUGCAUCAAGUUAAACUGGCUCUUCCUUGGUUCUAGUGUCGUGUUACGGAAGUUGAAUCAUUAUUUUGUUAAAUUGUCAUUGUAUCUGCAGUCUAUCGUUUGAAUGUUAAGAAAGAACAAAAACAGAAAUAUGGGGAUGUGUUAAGUCGAACAAAUAAACAUGUUUUUGGGAUUGGGAAAGGAAAGUAGAGGAUGUUGGAGGGGUAAGGAUAUUUCAAGUUUGGAUAAAAAUCUGUUAAUUUAUAACCCUACAAACAUAUCCCUAUUACCUAACUAAUCUCUAAACCCCACAAACAUAUACCUUCCAAUUCUUCAAACCCCACAAACAUACAUACACCUACUAACCUCCAAUUUUAUACCCUAAACCCCAUGAAACCAAUGUUAAACCUUAAUGAUGUAAUACCUGUAAUAAAUAAAAAAAGUAAAUACUAUUAGAACCAAUGUUUAUUUAUUUUUU
Molecule: RNA transcript, 2284 nt
Organism: Daphnia pulicaria
Lineage: Eukaryota; Metazoa; Arthropoda; Branchiopoda; Diplostraca; Daphniidae
Exons: 12
Source: RefSeq, a predicted model, not a curated record